This 22-nucleotide microRNA is filed under the name Bombyx mori (domestic silkworm). RNAcentral describes it as "bmo-miR-2778c-3p". The record is from miRBase by way of RNAcentral. Lineage: Eukaryota; Metazoa; Arthropoda; Insecta; Lepidoptera; Bombycidae.
CAGAGUACGCAAAAAAUCAAUU